UACGUAGGGUGCGAGCGUUAAUCGGAAUUACUGGGCGUAAAGCGUGCGCAGGCGGUUAUGUAAGACAGUUUUGAAAUCCCCGGGCUCAACCUGGGAAUUGCAUCUGUGACUGCAUAGCUAGAGUACGGUAGAGGGGGAUGGAAUUCCGCGUGUAGCAGUGAAAUGCGUAGAUAUGCGGAGGAACACCGAUGGCGAAGGCAAUCCCCUGGACCUGUACUGACGAUCAUGCACGAAAGCGUGGGGAGCAAACA
RNAcentral lists this ribosomal RNA (251 nucleotides) under uncultured Polaromonas sp. RNAcentral describes it as "partial 16S ribosomal RNA". It matches the Rfam family "Bacterial small subunit ribosomal RNA", at positions 524 to 774 of the family's 1533-position model. Lineage: Bacteria; Pseudomonadati; Pseudomonadota; Betaproteobacteria; Burkholderiales; Comamonadaceae. The record is from RNAcentral.